This 433-nucleotide ribosomal RNA is filed under the name uncultured bacterium. RNAcentral's name for it is "bacterial SSU rRNA". It matches the Rfam family "Bacterial small subunit ribosomal RNA", at positions 78 to 507 of the family's 1533-position model. The record is from RNAcentral.
AGCAAUCCUGGUGGCGAGUGGCGAACGGGUGAGUAAUAUAUCGGAACGUGCCCAGUCUGGGGGAUAACGUAGCGAAAGCUACGCUAAUACCGCAUACGAUCUAUGGAUGAAANCGGGGGAUCGCAAGACCUCGCGCGAUUGGAGCGGCCGAUAUCAGAUUAGGGUAGUUGGGUGAGGUAAAGGCUCACCAAGCCGACGAUCUGUAGCUGGUCUGAGAGGACGACCAGCCACACUGGGACUGAGACACGGCCCAGACUCCUACGGGAGGCAGCAGUGGGGAAUUUUGGACAAUGGGCGCAAGCCUGAUCCAGCAAUGCCGCGUGCAGGAUGAAGGCCUUCGGGUUGUAAACUGCUUUGUACGGAACGAAACGGUGAGCUCUAAUACAGUUUGCUAAUGACGGUACCGUAAGAAUAAGCACCGGCUAACUACGUG